GUUCCUCAGGGUUUUUGUAAGAAGAGAGAUGUUCAAAGAGGAGGUACAUAGAGAGUGUGAGAGAGAUGACGAUGAAUACUCCAGCAAUUAGUGUUGCCCAUACAGGAGGCGAGUAACUACUGAAAAGGUCAUGGAUGACCCGAUUCAAAUGCUCCGAUGAUAACGAUAUUACCCCUUGCAUCAGCUACGAUUUAGGGGUUCGCCGGAAACCUUGAUUUUUCCCCGAUGAUCGGAGCUCAUAUGAUUUUUUU
RNAcentral lists this unclassified non-coding RNA (251 nucleotides) under Hevea brasiliensis (rubber tree). Lineage: Eukaryota; Viridiplantae; Streptophyta; Magnoliopsida; Malpighiales; Euphorbiaceae. The record is from RNAcentral.